AAAGCUCGUAGUUGGAUUUGUGGUUGGAAGGGCCCGCCGUUGCUAUGCUUCGUGUUGGAUUUUUCCGUCCAUCCUUGGGUGGAUCCUGUGUGGCAUUCAGUUGUCGUGCAGGGGAUGCCCAUCGUUUACUGUGAAAAAAUUAGAGUGUUCAAAGCAGGCUUACGCCUUGAAUAUAUUAGCAUGGAAUAAUAAGAUAGGACCUGGGUACUAUUUUGUUGGUUUGCGCACCGAGGUAAUGAUUAAUAGGGACAGUUGGGGGUAUUCGUAUUCCAUUGUCAGAGGUGAAAUUCUUGGAUUUUUGGAAGACGAACUACUGCGAAAGCAUUUACCAAGGAUGUUUUCAUUAAUCAAGAACGAAAGUUANGGGAUCGAAGAUGAUUAGAUACCAUCGUANUCUUAACCAUAAACUAUGCCGACGAGGGAUUGGCGGUUGUUCGUUUUGACUCCGUCAGCACCUUAUGAGAAAUCACAAGUCUUUGGGUUCCGGGGGGAGUAUGG
This 498-nucleotide ribosomal RNA is filed under the name uncultured eukaryote. Its description in RNAcentral is "SSU rRNA". It matches the Rfam family "Eukaryotic small subunit ribosomal RNA", at positions 623 to 1128 of the family's 1831-position model. The record is from RNAcentral.